GCCUGGGUUGAUCUCCCAUCUCCAUAGGCCAUUGAGAAGGUGGCGUUGAGCUGUGCUCUCCAUGUGGCGUAGAGGUGCCAGUUCUACCAGCCAAUCUGUCCAUGUUCCCGAACAAUCAGCAGGUCAGCUCCAAGGAUUCACCAUGUCCUGUUCGCAUUUUCCUUGGAAUUCCUGGACAACAUUUGGUUGAAGUUUUGAUGUUCCAAGUUGCAUGGUACCAGGUGCUGAGGCAAUGUCAUUGUUUUAUUAAGCGCCCAUCAAGACCUCCUGACUGGUAGCACACAGCGGUUCAAGUGGAUAAGGGCACCAAUGGAAAAU
This is a long non-coding RNA of Hemiscyllium ocellatum (epaulette shark), 318 nucleotides long. RefSeq lists it as uncharacterized. The transcript has 3 exons. Lineage: Eukaryota; Metazoa; Chordata; Chondrichthyes; Orectolobiformes; Hemiscylliidae. The record is from RefSeq and is a predicted model, not a curated record.